CCUACGGGUGGCUGCAGUGGGGAAUUUUGGACAAUGGACGCAAGUCUGAUCCAGCCAUGCCGCGUGCGGGAAGAAGGCCUUCGGGUUGUAAACCGCUUUUGUCAGGGAAGAAAAGGUUCCUUCUAAUAAAGGGGACUCAUGACGGUACCUGAAGAAUAAGCACCGGCUAACUACGUGCCAGCAGCCGCGGUAAUACGUAGGGUGCAAGCGUUAAUCGGAAUUACUGGGCGUAAAGCGUGCGCAGGCGGUUGUGCAAGACAGGUGUGAAAUCCCCG
This 275-nucleotide ribosomal RNA is filed under the name uncultured bacterium. RNAcentral's name for it is "partial 16S ribosomal RNA". It matches the Rfam family "Bacterial small subunit ribosomal RNA", at positions 338 to 605 of the family's 1533-position model. The record is from RNAcentral.